Molecule: non-coding RNA, 5874 nt
Organism: Nomia melanderi (Alkali bee)
Lineage: Eukaryota; Metazoa; Arthropoda; Insecta; Hymenoptera; Halictidae
Source: RefSeq, a predicted model, not a curated record
UCUUCUAUAGUGACUUUUCAUGGUCACCGAUUACAGCUGAUUGGUGUUUGGUAUUCCGGUAUACCUAUUGUUUUCACGUAAUACGUUUCAUUAACGUUCUCCAAGCCAGAUUUAUAUUUGAUAUGUCUAACAUUGGUGGACGCAAAUCAUUCCGGCUACGAUCCAGUGUUUCCUUUUAGCUGUUAAAAUAAAAUGUCGAAAAUGAGCUCGAAAGACAAAGAUAACAAAACCUUACAUGAUAAACUGAAACAAUUUUUUCGUAUUAACAAAGGAAACUAUAAAAGUCGUGAAGAUUUUACGUUAACCACUGAUCUUGAGAAAGAAAUCAGCCCUGAAAGUCCUGUACACCAUCGUACAAAAGCGAUUAAAGACCUUUGCGAUGCAGUUCUUAAUCAGCAGUGGGAAGAUACAGCAGCUGAAAGAUUAUGGUAUUUGGUACAAGAUCUUUUAGGCAAAGAUGUACCUCGUGAGCAUAGACAUGUAACAUUGAAUUUUUUACGAUGUCUUGUCCAAGGCCAAUAUUCCAAACUAUCUUCUCUUAUGAGAGUAAAAUUUUUUGUGGUUGUCAAAGAACACAAUAUUCCGGAAGACAUUGGACCUAGAUUGGAGCUUUUACAAAGUUUAACAGAAAAUGGGAAAGAUAUAUUACAUUUGGAAGAAAGAAUGGGACCAUUUCUAUUAGAAUGGAUGCCUAUUGUAACAGCAGGAGAUGCGAAGAGGGGUGCUGAGUUCUUGUCUCUUCUUGUUAAUGUCAUAAAAUUCAAUUCAGCAUACAUAGACGAUGACAUUAUAUCAGGACUUGUCCAGUACAUUUGUCAUCUCUGUUAUUAUAGCAAUAGCACUGAAGUUGUUUCCGGGUGUCUAGAAGCUUUAGAUGCAAUUGUAUGCUACAGUAAUUUGCACUCUGACUCAUUACAAACUUUUAUCAUAGCUUUGUGUGGAAGCGUAAAUGUCGAAACAUAUUGUCAAAUAAGUUGGAAGAUAAUGCGUAAUCUGUUAGGAACACACAUGGGUCAUUCUGCAUUGUAUACAAUGUGUCGUUUAUUACAAGAUGCCAAUUUUCAGCGAGACGUACGUUUACUCAGGGGUGCCGUGUUUUAUGUAAAUAUGGGUCUCUGGGGUACACAUAAAAUUCCAAAACUGGAGUGUACUCCUACAUCGGUUUUACCUUCAUUUUUCCAAGCUUUAAAAUGUAAUCACCCUAUUGUCAUGUACGAAGUGACACUGUCCAUUCAGAGAUUAGUGACCAAAUACGGUGCUGAAUUAUGGGAUCCCACAUGGAGCAUUAUUCUUGACAUCAUAGAGGAAGUUAUUUCUCACACGGAGACCAGUAAUCAACUCGCAUCUAGACAAGUUUCAGUGAGUUUACAUGAAACGAUAAAUACCAUCGAAAAUUUAUUGGAUAACAACCAUUAUAAUGGUUGUGUUCAACGAUUUUACGAUCUUGUUGAACGGUGCAGUGAUACACGACCUGAAGCAUCUGUUUUAAAAUUAAUCGAAUAUAGGGGACGUACUAUAGGACCUACUCACUAUCAAUGGCAACCGAAAUUAGCCAGUUUAAUGGAACGUUAUUAUAAAUUGGAAACGCGUACGACUGUUAGAAUGAAAAUCCUCGAAGUUUUAACAAAUGUCAUUCAAGUUAAUAGGUCUAGAUACGAAGACGAAUUGAUCGAAAGAAUUGUUGUGCCAUAUUUUCAACAUAUAGAUGCAGAUUCAGAUAUUACGAUCCGUAAUGGUGUCGCAUUCUUACUUGUUGAUCUUUGCCUCGAAUGUGAUACAAAACGAUGUCUGGAACUUCUAGACAUAGUGGAGAAGUUAAUCAAUAAGCCCUUCUGUUCUGAUAUUCCAAUCACGAAAGACACUGACAUUAAAGAUGUAAAAACUGCAGUUGUCGGUGUAAUAAAAAUCUUAACAUCGAAAAUUUACAAUUUGCCAUCGAGCCAUGCGAUACGCGCUUAUAAGGUUUUGGUGAAUCAUCUUGAUCAGCAUUAUAAAGAUCCAACCGUCUUCCACGAUGUUUCUACGAUUCGAUAUCUGAUCUUUGAGUGUUUCUUGAAAAUUAGAGCAAACACACUGUAUCAUCUUGGGUUUCCAGAUGCACAGAAUGCAUCUGUAACCAGGUUCAGUCCGUAUUUAGUUUUAGAACAUGCUGCAACUGAACGAAUAAAUAGCGGUGGCGGUGGAAGUAGCCCUCCGCCAGCAAGUCCAGCUCCGUCACAUUUAUCUUGUCAGAUUACUUAUAUGUCAUUGGCACACGCAUGUAAAGCCGUCAUUUCCUGCAUUAAAUCGGAGAAAGAUUGGAAAGUUUUACAACUCGUAUUAAAAGAGCUACCGCAAGUAAUGCAAAAUAGAGCCUUGGUAUUGUCACGGCAUACUAAUGAUAUCGAUUGUUUCGCUGCUGCACUUUGUUCAAUGGUCAGUGAUAAGAACUUACGACUUCCAGAAUCUUUGUAUAAUGUUCCUCCGAAAUUUACUCUGUCUGAAUUUCGUGUUCACGUUUUUCCAGUAUUAGCGUCGUUAGCCUCGUAUCAUGCGCAUCUGGAUCCUAAUUUACAGCAACGUUUAAUAAAAUGUUUAGAGGUUGGUUUAACUGCGAAAUGUGCUAGUCAAUGUGUUACUAGUCUUACAACUUGUAUUUUGGAAAUGCGUGACGCGAUGAACAAACUUUUAUCAGAAGUUCUCUUGAAUUUGUCUAAAAUUUCAGCGACAGUACACAUCGCUAUACCAAUCUUGGAGUUUUUGUCCACUCUUACUAGACUGCCAAAGGUUUUCGCGAGCUUCAUUGGAGACCAAUAUAUGUCAGUUUUCGCUAUUUUACUGCCAUAUACAAACCCAUUUAAGUACGACCACUAUACGGUCUCCUUGGCACACCAUGUGAUUGCAGUGUGGUUUCUAAAGUGUCGAUUACCAUUUCGAAGAGAUUUUGUCAAGUUUAUUACCACAGGUUUGAAAGCAAACGUAAUAAUACCGUUCGAAGAAGGGCAUUUAAUGAAAUCAGAUUUUAACUUCAUAAACGAAGACUCAUCAAAUAGAAAACGUAGCUCGAGUUUAACGGAACAGGGUAGUAGAGGUCGAAGGGAAAGACCAAUAAUGUCGAAUCGCAUGAUAGGCGAAAGUAAAGUAUCGGAUUUGAAACCACCCAUCGACGAGGCUUUAAUGACUUUUCACGUUGAGCUUACCGAAACUUGUAUCGAUUUGAUGGCUCGAUAUACAUUCUCAACAUACUCGGCUCGGCCUAAAAGACUUUCAACUGCUGACUUUCUUCUUAAAGAAGGCCAGUCAAUGACAUGGUUGCUUGGAAAUAAACUUAUCAGUGUAACGACCAGUGGUUGCAGCAAUAAAGCGAUGCGAGGCGGUCUCUGCGAUAAUUGUUGGGUGGCCUGUAAACCUGGCCCUCAGUCACCGGAACACACAAGGACAUCUCAGUUGAAUUUGAGGAGGGCGUCAAGUACAGAGACAGCCAAGGAGGAGAAAUUGUCUAGGCAGUCUUCCGGGGGUCAUGCUAGCUCCACAGGCAACACAGCUGCGAAUUCUCCAAUAGAAGAGUUAAAGAAAACGUCGGACGAUUUGGAGACGACGAAAAGGGAGUAUCCCGCGGAGAAAACGGAGAAAGAGCAAACCGCCGAAUCCUCGAAGUUGGAACAAAUACUCAACAGCCAGAAGCAAGAGGAACAUGUGCUUUGCGCUUGUUGGUGUCAAGGCUGGGCCGAGAUAUACGUGCGCAGACCUACAGGCGACAUGUCUUGGAUAAUGAGGAUUCAAAAUUCUACGCAAUUCGAGUCGCACGUGGAUUUCCCUGUACACGACAUACUGGCAUUGUACAGACCGACCCAGGAUAUAUCGCAGAAGCAACAGGAGUCAACGUCAGAAUAUUCUGGAGAUGAAGGAGAGGACACUGCGGAUAAAAACCAAGAUCAAGCAUCGAUCGAUCACGGUAGCACGUUAAAACCUGUUGCAUCUUCUACGUCGUCUGGUCCAAUCGCGAUACCAGGCUCACCUGCUCGACCAAAUCCCUCCAGGCAAAGCUCGCGCGACAGUUUGGAAAGUUUAGACGACGGUGACGAUGAUCUACGCCGUUCCCGGAAUCCAGUGCGCAGAUCAAACUCUAGUCCCGAGAUGAGCGCUAAUUGGAAGAAUCCGUUUUUAAAUAAGGAUAAAUUAAACCUGCAACAAGCGGACCGAGAACUUUCAUCCGGGGAUCUGGAGAUUAAACUCGACGCGGAACUGAAGAACCGUGCGAAGAACACCUACGCGAAGGACAUGAGGGUCAGUUGCGAAGCUAUACCAGAAGAGAUAUUCGGCAUGGGCACGACACCCCCAUCUUCGGAGAACACGUCGGAUCAUCCGUCUGCGUUGAGGUCUCAACGUUCUUAUCCAGGAGCAACGCAAGUGACUCAGGUUAUCACGACUACCAGCAAUACCGUUCCGCCAUCGCCAACCACUCUGCAGGUACAAGGAAACUUCUUAGGGGUACAAGCACGCACCGCGCAAAUACAAUCAUCCACUGCAAAGCCUCCGCAAUCACCCACUCAGACUUAUCCUCGGUUAUCUAGUCUCGAGCCAGGUCAGAAGCAAGCAGCGACAGGAUCAGAGAGUAAACCACCCAUUGGACGAAACCACCUUGGGGACAAAAAGGAUGAAAGGCCAGAUCCGUCCAUGUUACCUCCUUUGCCACUACCGUUCCGUGAUAGAGGUCAUACGAUUUCCGUGAUGAGUCCCGUGAAAAAAUCUCGUAGCGAAUGGGAUAACAUACGCAGAGGGAACUCGCCACGUGUGAAGGAUCCCCCUAAAGCAGGUAUUAAUCCUAGUUUUGUUUUCUUACAACUAUACCAUACAGCGCACUUCGGCUCGCCUUCAGAAAAACCGUUGUUAGUUCCGCAAACGACAGCCGUGCAGAGAGCAGUAACGAAUUUAGAUAGGAUACAGCCGUACGAAACCCAUAAGAUCGGGGUUCUUUACGUUGGACCCGGACAAGCGUCCAACGAGGUGGAAAUUCUGGCUAAUCAGCAUGGAUCCCUUCGGUACACGGAGUUCCUGCAGCGAUUAGGGACAUUGGUCCGACUAAAGGACGUCGAUGAAAGCGUAUUUCUGGGAGGUUUAGAUCGCAACGGUGAAAACGGUAACUUCGCGUAUAUCUGGCAAGACGAUGUCACACAGGUAGCGUUUCACGUGGCUACUUUGAUGCCGACUAAACCGAGCGACCCAAAAUGUACCUCCAAAAAGCAGCACAUCGGGAAUAAUUACGUUACCGUGGUGUACAACGAAUCUGGCGAAUCGUACAACAUACAAACUGUAAAGGGGCAAUUUAAUUACGCGUGUGUUGUGAUUCAGCCCUUGGAUCACGGUACCAAUCAAGUUACAGUUCAAGUGAAAGAAGAAUUAGCGAAACAUAUUCGGCACAGCGAACCUAAAAUAAUUUCAGACCAAAAUUUAGCAAUUUUAUCACGGCAGCUUGCUCUUCAUGCGAAUCUUGCUUCAAUGGUUUCGUCGUCUCUAGAACAAAACAGUCACAAUCCGUAUGCCUCUAAUUGGUUAGAACGUUUGCGACACAUAAAGCGGCUCAGGAACCGCGUGUUACAGGAAACAGUAAAUAACAAUCCGGAUGGGACGACCGACGAAUUAUCGCCAAGAUCAAGUAAACGCGUUUAUAUGGACGAUUUUACUGAAUAUACAACAUGAAUCUGAUUCCAAUAAAAACAUUACAUAAACGUUGUUAUUAAUGUAAUUCGUAUUCGUAUAAACAUAUACGUAAGAGGUUACGUUCAACCACGUGAACGUUGGCAGUGUCUAACCAGCCAUUGAGAAUUUUCACGUGAGAACUAAAAUCGUUGACAGAUGGAAGCGCCUCUGCCCACAUAAUUAAGAAACUCACGG